RNAcentral lists this ribosomal RNA (230 nucleotides) under uncultured bacterium. Its description in RNAcentral is "partial 16S ribosomal RNA". It matches the Rfam family "Bacterial small subunit ribosomal RNA", at positions 562 to 791 of the family's 1533-position model. The record is from RNAcentral.
AAAGCGUGCGCAGGCGGUUAUGUAAGACAGAUGUGAAAUCCCCGGGCUCAACCUGGGAACUGCAUUAGUGACUGCAUAGCUGGAGUACGGCAGAGGGGGAUGGAAUUCCGCGUGUAGCAGUGAAAUGCGUAGAUAUGUGGAGGAACACCGAUGGCGAAGGCAGCCCCCUGGGUCAAAACUGACGCUCAUGCACGAAAGCGUGGGGAGCAAACAGGAUUAGAUACCCCUGU